GGGGUUUUAGUUUAAUUGGUAGAGCGUAGGCUUUGCAAGUCUAAGAUUACUGGUUCGAGGCCAGUAAACUCCA
Molecule: transfer RNA, 73 nt
Filed under: Polymastia littoralis
Lineage: Eukaryota; Metazoa; Porifera; Demospongiae; Polymastiida; Polymastiidae
Description: tRNA-Ala
Rfam family: tRNA
About the family: Transfer RNA (tRNA) molecules are approximately 80 nucleotides in length.
Source: RNAcentral